GCGUCCAUUUACAUAAUGCUUUGUCUGCAUUUUGCAACUCUCUUUCGUUAAACCCGCAGAACCCCCACCUCCUGAGCGGUGUCGUUUUAGUCGCUGCCGCCUCGUCAGACAUUUAAGACAAUGGCGUGCAUCUUGGGGGACCGCAUUUACCCCCGCUCUGGGGAGCUCCUGCGGUUUUCCCUGCGCGAGCUACUCUCCCGCUGCUGCCUUUCGGCCCUUUCCCCGCUCGGUGCAGCCACGGCGCCCACGCUCUCCGGGGGCGGCCCCCAACAGGGCCCGCCAUCUUGGAGGGCCUUUCUUGCCGUGUGUGGAGCCGCGCGUUCCUCCCGAUGAAAUCACUUAGGCCCAGAGAGAUGCAGUGACUAAUUCAAGGUCACACAGUGUUGAGGAUGGAAUCCAGACCUGAUACAGUUAUUGACCUGCCUUAUCUUGCGGAUAUGUGAGUGAAUUCCAUACCACCCAUUUUACAGAUGAAGCCACUGAGAUACAGAGCAACUGACUAAACAGUCACCACCCCACUCCUGGAGCCUCACAUGACUCUUCUCCCAGAGCCGCCCAAUAUGUGACUGUGUGAGGCAUGAGGCGCAGCAGGCUGUGAUACAGACUAAUUGAUGGUGAUCUCAACUUCUGUGACAGCUUCAGUUACCAUCUAUACAUGGAUGAUGACCAAAUCUCUCUCCAGACCAGAAUAUCCAGCUGUUCACAUGGACAGCUCCACUGCGAUGUUUUGAAGACUCAGCAAAAUGCAGCCUUCUGCUCUUUCCCUCUUGCUCUUCCUCCAGUGUCCUGUCACAUGGUGAAACAUUGUCUUGUCACUGUAUAACAUGGUAAUUGAGAAUGUGACUCUGGAGCUAGCCUGAUGGGACCUGAAUUCUGACUCAGCCGCUUACUAUGUGACCUUGGGUCUUCAUUGUAGUGUAACUCACACUGUCGAAACACCACUGGUAACUCUGGUGUACUGUUUAAGAGGCCCUGUCCUAUCAUCCAAAUAAAACCUGUUGAUGUGUUCCAAGGAAUAAGCCAUGAUGGCGGCAGAGAAAAAGAAAAGCCACUUUAAAAAAAUAGGGGACUUCCCUGGUGGUGCAGUGGUUAAGAAUCCACCUGCCAAUGUAGGGCACAAGUGUUCGAGCCCUGGUUCGGGAAGAUCCCACAUGCUGCAGAGCGACUAAACCCGUGUGCCCCAACUACUGAGCCUGUGUUCUAGAGCCUGCGAGCCACAACUACUGAGCCUACAUGCCACAACUACUGAAGCCCGUGCACCUAGAGCCCGUGCUCCACCAACGAGAGAAGCCACCUCAGUGAGAAGCCUGUGCACCACAAUGAAGAAUAGUCCCCGCUCACCACAACUAGAGAAAGCCCGUGAGCAGCAAUGAAGAUCUAAC
Long non-coding RNA from Mesoplodon densirostris (Blainville's beaked whale), 1382 nucleotides. RefSeq lists it as uncharacterized. Lineage: Eukaryota; Metazoa; Chordata; Mammalia; Artiodactyla; Ziphiidae. The record is from RefSeq and is a predicted model, not a curated record. The transcript has 8 exons.